ACUGCUACAAGUCCACCCCCACCUCUGCUUGUAGAAAUAAAAAGUGCAGAUUUAUGAGAGGGGAUGGGUCUACCUGGAGUGACUUGAGGAAUACCCAGAAGACCCCGUCCACCUCCUCCUGCUUAGAAUAUGCCUUUUGCUAGCCUGCUGUGAUGCCUGGAAUUUCAUCCUUCACCCAUUGCUGGGCCCACCCACAUAGUUUAAAGCCAAGAUCAGGACAGAGAUGGAGGGAGCUGUCCCCUGGCCACCCUGAUACCUGCUGUUGGAAAUCAACAAACAAACACAAACCCACUUUGCGUUCUGUCUAUGGUUUCUUAGACACGCGUGGAUUCUCACAGCCACCACCACAGACAGUACAAGCAACAGUUCCAAUACUCCAGAGAACGCCCUCAUCUCUCCUCACCCCUGCCUUCUGGCAAGCAAUGAGCUGUUCUCUGUUCCUGUAUUUUUGCCUUUUCUAGAAUGCCAU
This 469-nucleotide long non-coding RNA is filed under the name Homo sapiens (human). Its description in RNAcentral is "non-protein coding LINC01820:22". The record is from RNAcentral. Lineage: Eukaryota; Metazoa; Chordata; Mammalia; Primates; Hominidae.